NNCUAAUCUCGAAGCUAUUGGGCCCAUAACCCAAAAAUGAUACAUAGUCUC
Molecule: transfer RNA, 51 nt
Filed under: Physella acuta
Lineage: Eukaryota; Metazoa; Mollusca; Gastropoda; Physidae
Description: transfert RNA-M(ATG)
Source: RNAcentral